Macaca fascicularis (crab-eating macaque) is the source of this 107-nucleotide small nuclear RNA. The record is from Ensembl. Lineage: Eukaryota; Metazoa; Chordata; Mammalia; Primates; Cercopithecidae.
GUGCUCACUUCGGCAGCGCAUGUACUAAAAUUGGAAUGAUAUAGAGAAUAUUAGCAUGGCCAUUGUGCAAGGACGACACACAAAUUUAUGAAGUGUUACAUAGUUUU